GACGAACGCUGGCGGCGUGCUUAACACAUGCAAGUCGAACGGUGAAGCGCCUUCCUUUUUGGUGGGUGUGGAUGAGUGGUGAACGGGUGAGUAACACGUGAGUAACCUGCCCCCUUCUUCUGGAUAACCGCAUGAAAGUGUGGCUAAUACGGGAUAUUCUGGGUCUGUCGCAUGAUGGGUCUGGGAAAGAUAUUGUUUCGGUGGGGGAUGGGCUCGCGGCCUAUCAGCUUGUUGGUGGGGUGAUGGCCUACCAAGGCGGUGACGGGUAGCCGGCCUGAGAGGGUGGACGGUCACAAUGGGACUGAGACACGGCCCAGAAUCCUACGGGAGGCAGCAGUGGGGAAUAUUGCACAAUGGGCGCAAGCCUGAUGCAGCGACGCCGCGUGAGGGAUGGAGGCCUUCGGGUUGUGAACCUCUUUCGCCAGUGAAGCAGGCCUGCCUCGUUUGUGGGUGGGUUGACGGUAGCUGGAUAAGAAGCGCCGGCUAACUACGUG
RNAcentral lists this ribosomal RNA (494 nucleotides) under uncultured bacterium. RNAcentral's name for it is "partial 16S ribosomal RNA". It matches the Rfam family "Bacterial small subunit ribosomal RNA", at positions 28 to 507 of the family's 1533-position model. The record is from RNAcentral.